RNAcentral lists this long non-coding RNA (2624 nucleotides) under Mus musculus (house mouse). RNAcentral describes it as "long non-coding RNA chrX:23752005-23754629". Lineage: Eukaryota; Metazoa; Chordata; Mammalia; Rodentia; Muridae. The record is from RNAcentral.
ACAGCUGAAAAUGUCUCCAAAUAUUACUACAUAUAUGGUAUGGAUUGGGGGGCAAAAUUGCUGUCAAUGGAGAACUGCUAGUCUACCCUUAUAAAAUGUGCAAACACAGCACAGUGAAUUAUAACCUGGAUCAUACUUUUUUUCUAUAGAAAAGAUUCUUGAGGGAGAAGAGCUAUUCUUAUGUAUUAACAUAUAGAACAGAAAUGGAACUGUUUUUAAAAAUAGAAAAAAAAAAAACCUCACAAUUCUACAGUAGAACAGUUUCUUUGGUUUUUCUUUUUUCUCUUUCUUUCUUUCUUUCUUUCUUUCUUUUUUUAAUGAUUCAAUCUUGGUUCUCAACCAUUUGUAUACAUUUAUUUUCUUCCCCGUAACAUUGUAGAUAAAAUUUUAUAUUCUACAUUUUAUUCUGGUGUGGUUUUUGUUUGUUUUCUUUUUCUCUUUCUUUUUGCUUUGGCUUUUGUUCUGUUUUGGUGUUUUUGAGACAGGAUUUCUCUUUGUAGCUUUGGCUGUCGUAGAACUCACUCUGUAGACCAGGCUGGCCUCAAACUCACAGAAAUCUGCCUAAAUGUGUGCACCAUCACUACCCAGAAGAAAUUUUAUUCUUACCAUGUCUCCAAAUAUUACUACAUAUGUGGUAUGGAUUGGGGGGCAAAAUUGCUGUCAAUGGAGAAUUAUAUUUAUAUAAUCAUUAAUAUUCUUCUGCCAAACAUUUUACAUUGCAUUUAGCCAUUUUUAUUGUUGAAACUUGUUUAAUUUUUGCCACGUUUUCCCUCAUCCUGCUGUUUCAGUUACUCAAGUGCUAGGAGUAGUGUUUAUCACCACUCCAAUUUUUAAUUUCUCCCUUUAAAAAUCAGUUUCCUGCUUAUAAUUUAUCCUGUCUAUAGUUAAUACCUAAAAGGUGAUUUGAAGCAGAGUUUAAAUAGAAACUGGAAAAGCAGUGAGAAAAGUCUCUGGGACAUAAAGUGAGACUUAAUACUCUUUUAAAGUUCUAGCCUUUUUCAGAUGAAUUAAGCAUUCACUAAUAGUUAAUAAUAAAAACUAUAGGAGUAUAAUACUAACUACUCUGCCUAUAAGUACCUUACAUUUUAGUAGAGGAAUUUGAAUAACUAUAACCAGACAUGGUGGAAACAAGCUUGUAACCCCAGCAUUUGGGUUGUGGAGGCAAGAGAAUAAGAAAAAUUCAGGGUCAUCUACAGCUAUAUCAGGAAUUUGAGACCAGCCCUUAUACAACUACAUGCCAAAAAGAAAAUAUGGAAAUUGGAUGAAAAUAAAGGUAAUAAAUGCUGAACUAAAUUACAAAGUAUCUUAAGUACCCCAAAGGAAACUAUCUCCUAUUUGAUGGCCAGCACAGAGGUAAAUUCAUGGGAAACAUAAGGUGAUUUUUGAUAAAUAGAUAAGAUUUGAGUGGACAAAAAUAAAAGAGGAAGGACGUUACCAAUGGCCCUGAGAUGGGGAAUGUGCAGAACAUUUGAAGAGUAAUUAUGUGUAUGUAUUGAGAAUGCCUGUGUCAUACUAAGUAUAUAGGUUUCAUUUUAUAACCACCUAGAAAGCAGUGAGCUUUUGAUGUUUAAACUACACAGGUAUCAUUAUCUUUCUUUGUUGCUUUUAGUUCUGUUUUCUCUUUUACCCCUUUCCUUGCUUCCAAAUCCACAGAACAUGACACCGUUUGGCACCAUAAAUAGAUAUGGUAGGAGUCUAUCAUCAACAGGAUAAAAAUGUGUCUGAUGGAAGUGAUGGUCUUGUGUAAGUAAAGUAACUAUGCAGAGCCAGCCUGUUUAGUCUGUGUAUCAUAUUAUUCAUGCUAUAGUGAGUAGUAAAAUCAGAGAAGAGUAAGACUAGAACAGAUUAGGAAAGACAUGAUUUUCAACUUUAUUUUGACCCUUUACUCUCACAGUACUGACCUUUCUCUUAAACACAGUGAUCAUGUCAAACCUUUAUAAUAACCUUGCUCUUAUUGUGGCCAAUAGCAUCCCCUUGUUUUAUUCUGUACAUAGACAUAGGACACUAAGAAGCCUGAAAACCCUCCUUUUCCAUUAUCAUUCUCUUAUUUGUAAACUUGUUUUUAAUCUUACUACUUCUAUUUCACAUCAUCCUUUGCUAAGAAUUAAGUAUUCUUUUUUUCCCUAUCCAACAUAUUUUGUGGAAUUUCAAGUUUUGUCUUUCAUUUUACUAAUUAUGGGGCAUUUGGGCAAAUUUCCUAAUGAUUUGACCUCAGAAUUCUUCAUCUGUAAAAGAGAUAAUCCAGCUAUCUAAUGAGACCUCUGUUAUAUAUAUUGGAUGUGACACACUGUAGGCUUUCUUUUCUUUCUUUUUUUUUCUAGAACGUUCAAACUUUAUUAUGUUAUCUUUCUCUCGUGUGCCUAACUUCCCUUCAGUUCAUAAAACUGCUGGGUUACUUUUUAAAUUUUUUUUUUCCAUAUACAUCCAAACCUGCCUCCCUUUUCCCCUGGUACUAACGAUCAAACCCAGGGUCUAGUAAAUACUAUAUAGCUACCAGGCUUUGUAAAAAUUAUAUUGUACCCAGCUGAGUUUAUAUCUUUACAUUUUAGACAGUCUUUAAAAAUUAUUAGUUCUUUGAGACUUGCAUGUGUUUUCAAAGUAUUUAUUCCUCCCUAACUCCUCCC